GGCACAGUAUCUCUUGUCCUCCUGGGUUUUAAGCAGCUGCAACAGGAGGAGGAACUGCGGCUUGUGUUUACAAGGCCGAAAUCUGAAGAAAAAGCUUCCAUUCUUUUCCCAUCUUGAUAUGGAGGGUUCUCCAGAGGAAAAUAAGGAAAUGAGAUAUUACAUGCUUCAAAGUCCAGCAUGUCUGGCUUGCACCUAGUAAAGCAGGGCCGAGACAGAAAGAAAAUAGAUUCUCAACGAGAUUUCACUGUGGCUUCUCCAGCAGAAUUUGUUACUCGCUUUG
Molecule: long non-coding RNA, 280 nt
Filed under: Homo sapiens (human)
Lineage: Eukaryota; Metazoa; Chordata; Mammalia; Primates; Hominidae
Description: non-protein coding lnc-SYNRG-2:1
Source: RNAcentral